GACGAACGCUGGCGGCGUGCCUAAUACAUGCAAGUUGAGCGCUGAAGGUUGGUACUUGUACCAACUGGAUGAGCAGCGAACGGGUGAGUAACGCGUGGGGAAUCUGCCUUUGAGCGGGGGACAACAUUUGGAAACGAAUGCUAAUACCGCAUAAAAACUUUAAACACAAGUUUUAAGUUUGAAAGAUGCAAUUGCAUCACUCAAAGAUGAUCCCGCGUUGUAUUAGCUAGUUGGUGAGGUAAAGGCUCACCAAGGCGAUGAUACAUAGCCGACCUGAGAGGGUGAUCGGCCACAUUGGGACUGAGACACGGCCCAAACUCCUACGGGAGGCAGCAGUAGGGAAUCUUCGGCAAUGGACGAAAGUCUGACCGAGCAACGCCGGGUGAGUGAAGAAGGUUGUCGGAUCGUAAAACUCUGUUGGUAGAGAAGAACGUUGGUGAGAGUGGAAAGCUCAUCAAGUGACGGUAACUACCCAGAAAGGGACGGCUAACUACGUG
RNAcentral lists this ribosomal RNA (497 nucleotides) under uncultured bacterium. RNAcentral's name for it is "partial 16S ribosomal RNA". It matches the Rfam family "Bacterial small subunit ribosomal RNA", at positions 28 to 507 of the family's 1533-position model. The record is from RNAcentral.